ACAUCUGGGCAAUCGCUGGGAAACCAGAGGAAAGUCCAUGCUCGCACAGUCUGAGAUGACUGUAGUGUUUGUGCUAAAUGAAACCAUAAAUUUAGGCAGCUUUAGCUGACGGCUGACUAGUUCUAAGGUGAAAACGAUGAACGAUGUCCGUAAAAGUGCCACAGUGACGAUGUUAUUGGAAACAAUAAAGUGGAACGGGUAAACCCCACAAGCGAGAAACCCAAAUUUGGUAGGGGAACUUCAAGUCUUGAAUUCAAAAGACAAGAAGACACGCAAGUGUAGAUAAAUGAUUGCCGCCUGCGGGUACAGAACAUGGCUUAUAGGA
This 325-nucleotide RNase P RNA is filed under the name Erysipelothrix sp. RNAcentral describes it as "RNase P RNA component class B". It matches the Rfam family "Bacterial RNase P class B". From Rfam's summary of the family: Ribonuclease P (RNase P) is a ubiquitous endoribonuclease, found in archaea, bacteria and eukarya as well as chloroplasts and mitochondria. Lineage: Bacteria; Bacillati; Bacillota; Erysipelotrichia; Erysipelotrichales; Erysipelotrichaceae. The record is from RNAcentral.